This 497-nucleotide ribosomal RNA is filed under the name uncultured bacterium. RNAcentral's name for it is "partial 16S ribosomal RNA". It matches the Rfam family "Bacterial small subunit ribosomal RNA", at positions 28 to 507 of the family's 1533-position model. The record is from RNAcentral.
GACGAACGCUGGCGGCGUGCCUAAUACAUGCAAGUUGAGCGCUGAAGGUUGGUACUUGUACCAACUGGAUGAGCAGCGAACGGGUGAGUAACGCGUGGGGAAUCUGCCUUUGAGCGGGGGACAACAUUUGGAAACGAAUGCUAAUACCGCAUAAAAACUUUAAACACAAGUUUUAAGUUUGAAAGAUGCAAUUGCAUCACUCAAAGAUGAUCCCGCGUUGUAUUAGCUAGUUGGUGAGGUAAAGGCUUACCAAGGCGAUGAUACAUAGCCGACCUGAGAGGGUGAUCGGCCACAUUGGGACUGAGACACGGCCCAAACUCCUACGGGAGGCAGCAGGAGGGAAUCUUCGGCAAUGGACGAAAGUCUGACCGAGCAACGCCGCGUGAGUGAAGAAGGUUUUCGGAUCGUAAAACUCUGUUGGUAGAGAAGAACGUUGGUGAGAGUGGAAAGCUCAUCAAGUGACGGUAACUACCCAGAAAGGGACGGCUAACUACGUG